RNAcentral lists this ribosomal RNA (253 nucleotides) under uncultured bacterium. Its description in RNAcentral is "partial 16S ribosomal RNA". It matches the Rfam family "Bacterial small subunit ribosomal RNA", at positions 524 to 776 of the family's 1533-position model. The record is from RNAcentral.
UACGGAGGGGGCUAGCGUUGUUCGGAAUUACUGGGCGUAAAGGGCACGUAGGCGGCUUUGUAAGUUAGAGGUGAAAGCCCGGGGCUCAACUCCGGAAUUGCCUUUAAGACUGCAUCGCUAGAAUUGUGGAGAGGUAAGUGGAAUUCCGAGUGUAGAGGUGAAAUUCGUAGAUAUUCGGAAGAACACCAGUGGCGAAGGCGACUUACUGGACACAUAUUGACGCUGAGGCGCGAAAGCUAGGGGAGCAAACAGG